Molecule: transfer RNA, 82 nt
Filed under: Jenufa minuta
Lineage: Eukaryota; Viridiplantae; Chlorophyta; Chlorophyceae
Description: tRNA-Leu
Rfam family: tRNA
About the family: Transfer RNA (tRNA) molecules are approximately 80 nucleotides in length.
Source: RNAcentral
GCGAAUAUGACGAAAUGGAAGACGUGUCAGAUUUAGGAUCUGAUAGAUUGAAUCUGUGUGAGUUCAAAUCUCACUAUUCGUA